Molecule: long non-coding RNA, 206 nt
Organism: Brassica oleracea var. oleracea
Lineage: Eukaryota; Viridiplantae; Streptophyta; Magnoliopsida; Brassicales; Brassicaceae
Exons: 4
Source: RefSeq, a predicted model, not a curated record
GUUUGAGGUUUUGCUCUGGACGGGCCCGUUGUCUCUAUUGUCGGUUGAGGGUGGGGAGCUCAAACUGUGAGGUUCAGCUUUCAGGUCUUUAGUAGGCAUAGAUCUGCCAUCUCUUGGUGGUAAGGGUGUAACUUUUCUACUACGCUGCUCAGGAGCUCCUUGUCUACCACGCUGCUCUGCUUGUGGUGUCUCCCUUGAGUUUGUAG